Long non-coding RNA from Sycon ciliatum, 379 nucleotides. RefSeq lists it as uncharacterized. The transcript is spliced from 3 exons. NCBI's taxonomy places the organism in Eukaryota, Metazoa, Porifera, Calcarea, Leucosolenida, Sycettidae. The record is from RefSeq and is a predicted model, not a curated record.
GGCCUACCAUGCUCUAUAUGGGAAACUUUCAUCCUGGAACUUUACACGUACCGGCAUGCUCUGUAUCACGGGCAGGCUGUCAUCAACCAUCUCAUGGUGGAUGGAUGGGCUGUGGUCAUCCUGUCUCACCCGGUGCCUGACACUAGACGCUGACAGUGUGGGACGGCUGCGACCACGCAGAGCAAUGCUCACCCAGAUGCCCGGGUAACGUGCAUUCUCCACUAUGCGCCAGCACAACACCCAUGGCAAUUGUCGCCGCUAGUCAGUCUGUUCACCAGCUACCUGGACAAGCACAGGCAACGGGUUGAGAACAGUAUGCUGGAACAGGGCUUCUUCAUCAAGAACUUGAUUGCUGCUGCUGCUGCUACUACCUACCUUC